Molecule: ribosomal RNA, 388 nt
Filed under: uncultured bacterium
Lineage: Bacteria
Description: bacterial SSU rRNA
Rfam family: Bacterial small subunit ribosomal RNA
Source: RNAcentral
GACGAACGCUGGCGGCGUGCUUAACACAUGCAAGUCGAGCGGUAAGGCUCCUUCGGGAGUACACGAGCGGCGAACGGGUGAGUAACACGUGAGCAAUCUGCCCUUCACAUGGGAAUAACUUCGGGAAACCGAAGCUAAUACCGAAUACGACCACCGAUGGCAUCUUCUGGUGGUGGAAAGUUCCGGCGGUGAAGGAUGAGCUCGCGGCCUAUCAGCUUGUUGGUGAGGUAAUGGCCCACCAAGGCGACGACGGUAGCCGGCCUGAGAGGGUGACCGGCCACACUGGGACUGAGACACGGCCCAGACUCCUACGGGAGGCAGCAGUAGGGAAUUUUGGACAAUGGGGGCAACCCUCGAUCCAGCCAUGCCGCGUGUGUGAUGAAGGCCU